Molecule: long non-coding RNA, 591 nt
Organism: Prunus mume (Japanese apricot)
Lineage: Eukaryota; Viridiplantae; Streptophyta; Magnoliopsida; Rosales; Rosaceae
Source: RefSeq, a predicted model, not a curated record
GUUUGACUCAGACUGAACAUGGCCUUUCGGGUCCAAGUCCAAGCCCGGACUCUGGAACCCAAACGACGACGACGAGGGUGAGGGCGAGUGUCUCUUCUUCUACAUCAUUUUGGGGCUUCGCCUUCUUCUCGUCUUCUCUGUUGAACGUCCUGUGGCUCCGAUUCUGCCCUAGUUUGGGGGGGCAUGCAACCCCGGGUUCCAUCUUCAUUGCAUCAAUGGGGUAAAUUCACAUACUUCUUAGGCAUUUGCUCCAUGUGUCGCAGGAAGUGACAAUUCAGAGGUUGAGAAAAAAAAACAUUGGAAUCACUCUUAAGUGCAGCGGUUGCAAAUGCAGGCUUGCAAUUGUUAUGCUGGUUGAUAUAAAGCGAACGCCUCCUCUGUAUAUGUAUUGAGUAUUAGUUGAUGUAAACUAUAGUUGCUCCAUCUCCAGGUUUCAGUUUUUUUUCAAUCGUUUAUUGUAUUCCUCCAUAAACCGCAUUUUUGUUUAUUGGGUCUGAAGCGAUCCCCAGUGAGCAUAAAAAUAAAUUUUUGAUGGUAGUCAUUUUAAAAUUUGUGAUCCAAUUAAGAUUCGGGCGGAGGGGUGAAUUUGAA